Molecule: ribosomal RNA, 211 nt
Filed under: uncultured bacterium
Lineage: Bacteria
Description: partial 16S ribosomal RNA
Rfam family: Bacterial small subunit ribosomal RNA
Source: RNAcentral
UACGGAGGGUGCGAGCGUUAAUCGGAAUUACUGGGCGUAAAGCGCACGCAGGCGGUUAAUUAAGUCAGAUGUGAAAGCCCCGGGCUUAACUUGGGAAUUGCAUCUGAAACUGGUUGGCUAGAGUCUGGUAGAGGGGGGUGGAAUUCCAUGUGUAGCGGUGAAAUGCGUAGAUAUGUGGAGGAACACCGGUGGCGAAGGCGGCCCCCUGGAC